GCAAACUUGGUCAUUUAGAGGAAGUAAAAGUCGUAACAAGGUUUCCGUAGGUAAGUUAUCGCAAUCACCAAAUCCGCGCCGAGAAUGACAAUUUACUAACAUACAAUUCCAGGUGAACCUGCGGAAGGAUCAUUAACGAGUUAGGGUCUUUGGCCCGAUCUCCCAACCCUUUGUAUACUUGACCAUAUGUUGCUUCGGCGGACCCGUCUUUAUUGACCGCCGGGGGACCGUAGAACGUCCUCUGGCCAGUGUCCGUCGGUGGCCUACAUCUCAAAUUCUUCAUUAAACGUGUCUCUGUCUGAACAAAAACAUUUUUAAUAAAUGAAAAGCAAAACUUUCAACAACGGAUCUCUUGGUUCUGGCAUCGAUGAAGAACGCAGC
This 381-nucleotide unclassified non-coding RNA is filed under the name uncultured fungus. RNAcentral describes it as "partial contains small subunit ribosomal RNA, internal transcribed spacer 1, and 5.8S ribosomal RNA". The stretch from base 1 to 135 matches the Rfam family "Eukaryotic small subunit ribosomal RNA", at positions 1759 to 1831 of the family's 1831-position model. Lineage: Eukaryota; Fungi. The record is from RNAcentral.